Molecule: non-coding RNA, 950 nt
Filed under: Pongo abelii (Sumatran orangutan)
Lineage: Eukaryota; Metazoa; Chordata; Mammalia; Primates; Hominidae
Source: RNAcentral
GUGGAUCUUGUGAGCUGGGUUGCCUUGCUGUGGUGCUUUCGGGCUCGCUAACUAUGUUAUCACACAGUUUUGCAACCAAAUCGCCACUAGAAGUCACUGUGUUCUGUUGACAUGCAGAGUCUGCACAAAGUUUAUCGUCUCCAGUUGUAGAACGAAUGGCUGGAAUCACCACAGAAUUCUGAUCUACUGGAGCAUCGGCACUCUCCUCAUGACUUCGUGAAGUUUCCAUUUCUGCUGUUUUUUCAGUGGCGGUUUCUUCAUUACUAAAUGCAAGUGAAGACUCAGCAGGUUUGUUACCAUCCAGGGAACUGGCGGCAGGGGCACAGUUUGGAACACUGAUUUUAUCCACAGGCUUAUUUGUGACAUGCACGUCAGAGGCUCCAGCUGUGCCAAUAUUAGAGUUCUCAAAUCUUUCCUUUGUACUUUCCCCUCCUUGAAGCACAUUCUUCCUAACAGUGGCAUCUGGGUUCAUGAGCCCAUGUUCCAUUUCCCCUGCAGUCUCUGGGGUACUGACAUUUGUUGUUGAAAUGCCUCCCAGUUCACCUCCAGAGGAAUACUGGGCUGUGCCUGUCUCCAUGACCAAGUCUCUCGGAAGCACAGCAUCUCCACUGCUCAGGGACUCCUGGUCUGUGGGCAUUCCAGAAGAUUUUGUUCUAGUUUCUUCAUUUCUGUUUCCACAGGACGAAAGGCCUUCCGUGCCCUUUACUCCACAAUCAGGCAAGCUCUGAAGGCAGCUGUCUUGAUCAGAUACAGUUCCAGAGUCCACAAUAGGUGCUGGCUCCACCUCUUCCCCUUUUCUUUCCACGCCUUUAUUUUUCUUCCUACAGGAAUGGUCUGUAUUCUCCUCAACUAUGCUUGACAAAUCACAGGGACUUUCAGUCUGUGCAACAGGGCUCCCUAGACAGCACUGAGUGCUCUCGGUCUUUUCAGAAGAAGAAAGUCGCUGAGGG